RNAcentral lists this ribosomal RNA (468 nucleotides) under uncultured bacterium. RNAcentral's name for it is "partial 16S ribosomal RNA". It matches the Rfam family "Bacterial small subunit ribosomal RNA", at positions 28 to 507 of the family's 1533-position model. The record is from RNAcentral.
GACGAACGCUGGCGGCGUGCUUAAUACAUGCAAGUCGAACGGAAAGGCCCGGCUUUUGUGGGGUGCUCGAGUGGCGAACGGGUGAGUAACACGUGAGUAACCUGCCCUUUACUGUGGGAUAACUUCAGGAAACUGGGGCGAAUACCGGAUAUGAGCUCCUGCUGCAUGGUGGGGGUUGGAAAGUGUCGGCGGUUGGGGAUGGACUCGCGGGUUAUCAGCUUGUUGGUGAGGUAGUGGGUUACCAAGGCUUUGACGGGUAGCCGGACUGGGAGGGUGACCGGGCACAUUGGGACUGAGAUACGGCCCAGACUGCUACGGGAGGCAGCAGUGGGGGAUAGUGCGCAAUGGGCGGAAGGCUGAUGGAGGAAUGCCGCGUGCGGGAUGACGGCCUUCGGGUUGUAACCCGCUUUCGAGUGUAAAGAAGCGUGAGUGACGGUAAUGGGUAAAGAAGCAACGGCUAACUACGUG